CCCUUAGAUGUUCUGGGCCGCACGCGUGCUACACUGAGUGGAUCAGCGGGUCAGGUUGCGCGAAAGUGUUUCCUUAUCUUUAAAUCCGCUCGUGAUGGGGAUUGACGGUUGCAAUUUUCCGUCAUGAACGAGGAAUACCUUGUAAGCGCGGGUCAUCAUCCCGCGCUGAAUACGUCCCUGCCCUUUGUACACACCGCCCGUCGCUCCUACCGAUUGAGUGGUCCGGUGAGGCUUUGGGAUCUGAGCGGAAAGAGCGUUUCGCUGUUUCUGCCCGGAAAACUCAGUCGAACCUUAUCAUUUAGAGGAAGGAGAAGUCGUAACA
This 322-nucleotide ribosomal RNA is filed under the name uncultured eukaryote. RNAcentral's name for it is "partial 18S ribosomal RNA". It matches the Rfam family "Eukaryotic small subunit ribosomal RNA", at positions 1470 to 1796 of the family's 1831-position model. The record is from RNAcentral.